UAAGGAAUAUUGGACAAUGGCCGCAAGGCUGAUCCAGCCAUCCCGCGUGCAGGAAGACGGCCCUACGGGUUGUAAACUGCUUUUGUCAGGGAAGAAACCUUUGGAUUUACUCCGAAUCUGACGGUACCUGAAGAAUAAGCACCGGCUAACUCCGUGCCAGCAGCCGCGGUAAUACAGAGGGUGCAAGCGUUAUCCAGAAUUACUGGGUUUAAAGGGUGCGUACGCGGCUUUGUAAGUCAGGAGUGAAAGUUUGCGGCUUACCGUAAAAUUGCUUUUAAUCUGCAUCGCUAGAAUUAAGAUGAGGUCAGCAGAUGUGGCAUGUAGCGGUGAAAUGCAUAUAUAUGCCAUAAAACACCAAUUGCGAAGGCAGCUGGCUAGACCUAUAUUGACGCUGACGCACGAAAGCGUGGAGAGCGAACAAGAUUAUAUACCCUGGUAGUCCACGCCCUAAACUAUGCUUACUCGACGUAUGGCCCUUGUGGUUGUGCGUCCAAGGGAAACCGUUAGAUAAGCCACCUGGGGAGUACGUUCGCAAGAAUG
RNAcentral lists this ribosomal RNA (540 nucleotides) under uncultured bacterium. RNAcentral's name for it is "bacterial SSU rRNA". It matches the Rfam family "Bacterial small subunit ribosomal RNA", at positions 355 to 896 of the family's 1533-position model. The record is from RNAcentral.